This 129-nucleotide small RNA is filed under the name Marmota monax (woodchuck). Lineage: Eukaryota; Metazoa; Chordata; Mammalia; Rodentia; Sciuridae. The record is from RNAcentral.
GCCGGGUAUGGUGGCACAUACGUCUGUAAUUCCAGCGACUUAGAAGGCUGAGGCAGGAGGAUUCCAAGUUCAAGGCUAGCCUCAGCAAUUUAGUGGGGCCCUGAGCAACUUAGUUAGACCCUGUCUCAA